GUGCUGUUGAAGAGUCCCAAACUAGGACGAAACAACUGUCCAGUAC
RNAcentral lists this non-coding RNA (46 nucleotides) under Trichobilharzia regenti. Lineage: Eukaryota; Metazoa; Platyhelminthes; Trematoda; Strigeidida; Schistosomatidae. The record is from RNAcentral.